AAUAAGUGUAAUUUUACACUAUUCAUCUCCAACGUUUGACCAUUCGUUUUAUUUGAAAUUUUUUAUGAUUACUAUUUUUAUUGUUAUUAGAUGAUAAAACAUGAAUAGUACUUUAUGUGUGACUAAAUUUUUUUAAAUUUUUCAUAAAUUUUUCAAAUAAGACGGACGGUCAAACGUUGGACACGGAUUUCUAUGGCUGCACUUAUU
RNAcentral lists this microRNA precursor (207 nucleotides) under Oryza sativa Japonica Group (Japanese rice). RNAcentral's name for it is "MIR812 microRNA precursor family". It matches the Rfam family "MIR812 microRNA precursor family". The record is from Rfam by way of RNAcentral. Lineage: Eukaryota; Viridiplantae; Streptophyta; Magnoliopsida; Poales; Poaceae.